GAUGAACGCUAGCGGGAGGCCUAACACAUGCAAGCCGAGCGGUAGAGAUUCUUCGGAAUCUUGAGAGCGGCGUACGGGUGCGGAACACGUGUGCAACCUACCUUUAUCUGGAGGAUAGCCUUUCGAAAGGAAGAUUAAUACUCCAUAAUAUAUUGAUUGGCAUCAAUUGAUAUUGAAAGCUCCGGCGGAUAGAGAUGGGCACGCGCAAGAUUAGUUAGUUGGUGAGGUAACGGCUCACCAAGACGAUGAUCUUUAGGGGCCUGAGAGGGUGAUCCCCCACACUGGUACUGAGACACGGACCAGACUCCUACGGGAGGCAGCAGUGAGGAAUAUUGGUCAAUGGGUGCAAGCCUGAACCAGCCAUCCCGCGUGAAGGACGACUGCCCUAUGGGUUGUGAACUUCUUUUGUAUAGGGAUAAACCUACCCUCGUGAGGGUAGCUGAAGGUACUAUACGAAUAAGCACCGGCUAACUCCGUGCCAGCAGCCGCGU
This 491-nucleotide ribosomal RNA is filed under the name uncultured bacterium. RNAcentral describes it as "bacterial SSU rRNA". It matches the Rfam family "Bacterial small subunit ribosomal RNA", at positions 28 to 520 of the family's 1533-position model. The record is from RNAcentral.